GUGUUCCAGGACCCUCUGUUGGCAUCAAAAGGUGGCAUCUAAAGAAAUUAUUGACAAGUCAAGAAUGUCAUACAUCACUGCCAAGUACACACUCUAUGCACUUCUGAAUAACAUGGUUACCAUUCUGAUCACGAACACAUUUCAUGACUGAACCAUCAAGCUCUUCCACCAUCUGAGUCUGCUUAUCCACAUCAAUUACCUCCAACGCCUGUGAUCACUUCUACAGUGGUAUUUUUCAAGGAAUAAUAAUCAGGCUUUGGACUGGCUAUGGAAUUGAAUAAAUUAAACGAGUUCGUGUUCAGGUUCAGUAAUAUU
Manihot esculenta (cassava) is the source of this 315-nucleotide long non-coding RNA. RefSeq lists it as uncharacterized. The record is from RefSeq and is a predicted model, not a curated record. The transcript is spliced from 3 exons. NCBI's taxonomy places the organism in Eukaryota, Viridiplantae, Streptophyta, Magnoliopsida, Malpighiales, Euphorbiaceae.